RNAcentral lists this long non-coding RNA (487 nucleotides) under Crocodylus porosus (Australian saltwater crocodile). RNAcentral describes it as "lncRNA (ENSCPRG00005003120.1)". The record is from RNAcentral. Lineage: Eukaryota; Metazoa; Chordata; Crocodylia; Crocodylidae.
CCAGGGUCUGGAGCUCGGAGCUUCUUCUCUCUCAGCCUCCCCUCGGUGUGGCUUGUUCAUGUUGAUGUUUUACAAGUGCACAGAAUCUCCUUCAGUGUUGUUGUUCAGAUGGAAGACGUCUGGAUGGACAUAGAAGACCUGCUCUCAGUUAUAAUUGACAAGACGACUAUAACUGUCACAAAACAACACUGCCCAGGUCAGUAUUGACCAAAACCUAAAGUCCUGGGAUGUGUUAAGUACUUUCUGUUUUCUUCUUUCUUCUUCUUCUUUUUUUCUUUUUAGAUGCCCAUUUUUUUUCCUCGUGGCCUCUGGUCUGCACCUCAUUGGAACAACCCCACCGGUUUUUUUCUCCAGAAGGGCAUCCGGUACUGGAGAUGUCAAACUGGAAGGAGUCGUAGCUCCUGAAAGGAUGUUCUGGCAGCUGCAUUUCUCCCUCCAUCUGUUUGGCUUCCUGUUGGUCUGGUCAGGUGCUUUGACAUUCAGGUGA